GCCCUCUGGGCGUAGUCGGCAGCGCGUCAGUCUUAUAAUCUGAAGGUCCUGAGUUCGAGCCUCAGGGAGGGCA
Molecule: non-coding RNA, 73 nt
Organism: Melospiza georgiana
Lineage: Eukaryota; Metazoa; Chordata; Aves; Passeriformes; Passerellidae
Source: the annotation of a RefSeq genome assembly